CCGCGCGGAAGGAGGAAGGCAGGGAGGAGGGGAGUUCCAGAGGAGAACUCCCAUCUGCCUCAGCCUGCCACUGGACCAGGGAAACCACCCUCCAGGAAAAGGUAAGAACCUGGAGGGUGGCUAAAUGUAUGUCAGUAGGUCUGUGUGUGUAUGUCUGUGUGUGUGUGCCAGUAUGUCUGUGUGUGUGUGUGUGUCAGUAUGUCUGUGUGUAUGCCAGUAUGUCUGUGUGUGUGUGUGUGUAUGUAGGUAUGUCUCUGUGUGUGUGUGUACGUGUGUGUCAGUAUGUCUGCCAGGAUAUAUUUGUGUGUCAGUGUAUGUGUGUGUCAGUAUGUAUCUGUGAAUGUUUUAAUGUCUGUCUGUGUGUAUGUGCCAGUACGUCUGUCUGUGUGUAUGUCAGUAUGUCUGUGUGUGU
This 412-nucleotide long non-coding RNA is filed under the name Pelobates cultripes (western spadefoot toad). The record is from RNAcentral. Lineage: Eukaryota; Metazoa; Chordata; Amphibia; Anura; Pelobatidae.